RNAcentral lists this unclassified non-coding RNA (313 nucleotides) under plant metagenome. RNAcentral's name for it is "partial contains small subunit ribosomal RNA and internal transcribed spacer 1". The stretch from base 1 to 46 matches the Rfam family "Eukaryotic small subunit ribosomal RNA", at positions 1786 to 1831 of the family's 1831-position model. The record is from RNAcentral.
AAGUCGUAACAAGGUAUCCGUAGGUGAACCUGCGGAUGGAUCAUUACCAAUUUCCCUGUUUGAUAACUGCUGUAACAGGGGAGUUAUUCAAUCAAACACUUGUCAACUUGGUUGAGCCUUUUAUAACUUAUCUUUCCAUUGUGGGGUGACCGUGUAUAACUGACUUGUCAGCUUACAUCUUGAACCCCACAGUGAGACAAAAAAUACUACAUCUGUAGACAUACUACUCCAACAAAAUAUCAUAUCUCUAUAGGAUUAUAAACAACGACUGAGUGUGUAACAGCCUCGGUUAUUAACAAACAAAAAAAUACAA